GCGCGGAUCCCUUUCCCCCCAGAACGGUGCCGUUUCGUUAUAUGCUUAAAAAUUGAAGAAAAUGAAUGGCCUUUUGCCAUUUUUUGAGCCAUAAACCAAAGACCCAAGCAUUAGGGUUACAGCACAGCAGAUUUUAAUGCUUUCCCAUCCCCUUUCCAUUCGGCCGAAUUAGGAGACCUUUAGACUGCCGUUUGGCCUCUAUGUCUAGCCGACGGUCAUCACUUGAAGGCCCAAUCUAGCUCCGUCCAACCGUGGAUCCAAGGUUUUUGCUCCAAAGCUUCAAAGUCCUCGCCUAAACUUCGAUUACAACGAAGUAGCUAGGAUUCGAAGGAGCCAAAUAUGAAGGUAAAUCUCUUUUCCUUACUCUUUUUCUUUUUAAAAACGAAUAUCAAUCAUGAAGAAAAGCAAAAAGAAAAAUGAAUGAGAUGCUAGAUUUAAAACAAUCACCUUUUCAAUUCGUGAUUUCUACUUUGUUCUAUUUGAUAUCUUUUUGUAUGUGUUUUUUCGUAAAAAAAGAAGGGGCUUUUACAAUCGAAAAAUGAAAGGCUUUAUAGCCGAAUCAUCAAAAUAAAAUAAUAAACACAAUUUUCUUUUUCUUUUUUCGUAUUGGCUUGUUGCUGCUGUUGUUUGUCUGUUUCUUCGUAGGUACGGAGUGUGCCUGGCGCGAGUACGAGGGCUGGGCUGGCGUACGGAGGCGCGGGUGUGGCUGCUAGAGGGUACGGAGGCUGGGGCUGCUGCGGCUCAAGCAGAGACUACUAGGGUUCUGCCUUGAUUUUUUUGUUUUUGGGCUGUAGGAUAUUUGGGUCUAGGUUUGGGCUUGUAAUAAGUUUGGGCUAUGUUAAGGUAUUUGGGUCAUUGUAAUAACUUUGGGCCUUGGACUGUUUCUAUUUUUGUUUGGGUUUUAUAUUUAUUUGUUUGUAACGGGCUGGGCAAAUUUGGCCCACUACAGAAAUGAUAUGUUCUUCAUAUUUUAAUAAAAAUUAAUUAAAUGUAUUUAUAUAAGGGUAACAUAUACAUAUAAUUCAAUUAUAAAAUUUUUUAUUUUAUUCACUCAAAAUAAA
This 1061-nucleotide long non-coding RNA is filed under the name Gossypium barbadense (sea-island cotton). RNAcentral's name for it is "long non-coding RNA (GBAR_LNC007432)". Lineage: Eukaryota; Viridiplantae; Streptophyta; Magnoliopsida; Malvales; Malvaceae. The record is from RNAcentral.